RNAcentral lists this ribosomal RNA (492 nucleotides) under uncultured bacterium. RNAcentral's name for it is "partial 16S ribosomal RNA". It matches the Rfam family "Bacterial small subunit ribosomal RNA", at positions 29 to 507 of the family's 1533-position model. The record is from RNAcentral.
AGUGAACGCUGGCGGUAGGCCUAACACAUGCAAGUCGAACGGCAGCACAGUAAGAGCUUGCCCUUACGGGUGGCGAGUGGCGGACGGGUGAGGCAUGCAUCGGAAUCUACUUUUUCGUGGGGGAUAACGUAGGGCAACUGACGCUAAUACCGCAUACGAUCUACGGGUGAAAGCAAAGGUUCUUCGGACCUUGCGCGACUGAAUGAGCCGAUGCCGGAUUAGCUAGUUGGCUUGGUAAAGGCCCACCAAGGCGACGAUCCGUAGCUGAUCUGAGAGGAUGAUCAGCCACACUGGAACUGAGACACGGUCCAGACUCCUACGGGAGGCAGCAGUGGGGAAUAUUGGACAAUGGGCGCAAGCCUGAUCCAGCCAUACCGCGUGAGUGAAGAAGGCCUUCGGGUUGUAAAGCCCUUUUGUUGGGGAAGAACAGCAGCAGGUUAAUACCCCGCUGUUCUGACGGUACCCAAAGAAUAAGCACCGGCUAACUUCGUG